UCCUCCCAAGUCUGUGGUUGCGGGCAGCUUGAACAGCAUGUCCUAGUCCAUGGCAGAUGCGGUCGAAAGGAUCCACGUAAACGGCCGAGGCAACUCGGUCGCGAGCAUGGCGCAUCUUAGGGGUAAGACGUACCGUCCGUUAUGGGCGCAUAGGGCGCCCCGGGCGAGAAAGUGAGUAGUGAGAUCGUAUCAGGCGAAAGCUUCGGUAUGCGAGUGUGGGGUCAAAAACCAGGUCAGUUGGGGGGA
This 246-nucleotide non-coding RNA is filed under the name unclassified sequences. RNAcentral's name for it is "raiA RNA". It matches the Rfam family "raiA RNA". The record is from Rfam by way of RNAcentral.